UACGUAGGAUGCAAGCGUUGUUCGGAAUUACUGGGCGUAAAGAGUACGUAGGCGGUUUGAUAAGUCUGCUAUUAAAGACUGGAGCUUAACUCCAGGACUGUAGUGGAAACUGUCAGACUAGAGGACAAUAGAGGAAGUCGGAAUUCUCAGUGUAGCGGUGAAAUGCGUAGAUAUUGGGAAGAACACCAGUGGCGAAAGCGGACUUCUGGGUUGUUACUGACGCUGAGGUACGAAAGCGUGGGGAGCAAACGGG
Molecule: ribosomal RNA, 253 nt
Filed under: uncultured bacterium
Lineage: Bacteria
Also listed under: 1 other name
Description: partial 16S ribosomal RNA
Rfam family: Bacterial small subunit ribosomal RNA
Source: RNAcentral